RNAcentral lists this ribosomal RNA (631 nucleotides) under Paragaeumannomyces sabinianus. Its description in RNAcentral is "partial large subunit ribosomal RNA". It matches the Rfam family "Eukaryotic large subunit ribosomal RNA", at positions 1 to 657 of the family's 3401-position model. Lineage: Eukaryota; Fungi; Ascomycota; Sordariomycetes; Chaetosphaeriales; Chaetosphaeriaceae. The record is from RNAcentral.
UUGACCUCGGAUCAGGUAGGAAUACCCGCUGAACUUAAGCAUAUCAAUAAGCGGAGGAAAAGAAACCAACAGGGAUUGCCCUAGUAACGGCGAGUGAAGCGGCAACAGCUCAAAUUUGAAAUCUGGCCCUAGGCCCGAGUUGUAAUUUGCAGAGGAUGCUUCGGGCGCGGCGCCUUCCAAGUCCCCUGGAACGGGGCGCCAGAGAGGGUGAGAGCCCCGUACUGUCGGACGCCAAGCCUAUGUGAAGCUCCUUCGACGAGUCGAGUAGUUUGGGAAUGCUGCUCAAAAUGGGAGGUAGACCCCUUCUAAAGCUAAAUACCGGCCAGAGACCGAUAGCGCACAAGUAGAGUGAUCGAAAGAUGAAAAGCACUUUGAAAAGAGGGUUAAAUAGCACGUGAAAUUGUUGAAAGGGAAGCGCUUGUGACCAGACUUGCACCGGGGCGAUCAUCUGGCGUUCUCGCCAGUGCACUCGCUUCGGUUCAGGCCAGCGUCGGUUCGCGCGGGGGGUUAAAGGUACUGGGAACGUGGCUCCUCCGGGAAUGUUAUAGCCCAGUGCGUCUAGCCCUCGAGUGAACCGAGGAACGCGCUCUGCAAGGACGCUGGCGUAAUGGUUACUAGCGACCCGUCUUGA